UCGCUUCCCCCAAAUAUUUUGGUUCCACCACACCCAAAUUAACUUCCCUCCCCCUAAUUCUAACCCGCUCAUUUCUCCCAAACCUAAUCGAUUCUCGGUGUUUGCUCUACCUUUCUCCCCUAAAUCAAUCAUCGCUCAACGAUCUAUGGAUCUGCAGUUCCGGUGAAAUCGUCCUUUUGGCCCUUUAUUCUCAUCGUUCGUAAAGGUCCGAUCAAUCUCUCUUCCCGAUUUCUUUUUUAUUUCUGAUUUGGUUUCAAAAGUUUCUGCAAUAAGUUGCUUUUUUUGUGUGAUUAACUUUAUAUAUAGAUUUUUUGAUAUUGUGGUGGAGGAAUUCAACAAAACAAAGAAAGAUUGGGACGAAGCCUAUCUUCAAACCCUAGCCCACAUUAAGUUCAAGUUGUUAUCUUUGUUGCCACUAUCUUUGUUAGUAAUGCUUUUUUUUUUUUUUUGUAAUUACACAUACCAUUGAAGUAUGGCUAAUGGCUGCAAUUAGUAGCAACAUUCUUUUACUUGAUUUCUAAUUUGGCAGUUGAACUUGCUAGGCUUUUAACUAUGUAGUUAAAACCUUUUGUUUAGACUAUACGGAGUGGGAGGGGAUGAGGAGGGGGCAUUAAGCACCAUGUGGCAGCCACGUCGCAUAGCAAGAGGGCGUGGUAAAAAAAAGCACGGAGUGUGAGGGGCGUGAAAGUUGUGUUUUUAAAACAAAAAAAAAUCAACCAAUUGAAACAAAUCCAAACAACACCCACCAAUCAUAGGUCAUCAAAAUACGACUCGAUAAAUUAUAAGUUACCAGAACGGACAUUAGGUCUAUAGCAUCGCGACAUUCAGAUUAGCAAGGCACUCCUCAAGGAGAUUUUGGCAGCCAAGAGAAGAAACAAAUCAGUGAAAGGUUUGGGGCUUGAAAACCUGAACAAACACGCUCCUAUUAUCCCUUCUCACCUCACAAGUUCCACUCUUUGGACAGCUUAGUUUCAGGCUGACAUCUUCUGCCUACAGGAGAGAGAUUGGGGAAAGCAUGGAACAUGUAUUUACAAUGGUUAGCCAACUUGCCUUUAUCUCAAAUGGGUUACAACAUGGGUCGGGCAUGGGGUUGUCUGAUGUGUUUAGUAAUCCAUAAAAGAUUCUAAAUUGUUUUAUUAAAAGAUUAUAUUUAUAUUAUUAUUCAAAUAAUAAAUGUUUCUCAUCAUACUUCACAUGUUAAAUUUUGUUAGUACGUUUAAUCAAAAGUGUUUUUCACACGUUACCUGACCUUGGGUUUUGCCUCCUCCAAUCUCAUUUUUUAUUCUCCAACUACUAUUAAUUAGACCUGCCAGAUCGCUGAGGAUUUGGGCAGAGCCUUCUCAGUCCGGUUAGUUUUACAAACAUUUCUUGAUGUUGAAGCAACUGUUCCAUAUAUUUGGUCGCUUCUCUUAUGCUGCAAUCCAGGUACGUCUAGCAGCGGAAUUUAAAGUGAUAUAUUUUACACUUGGUGUAUGUUAUUUACUGUAUCUUGCACUUUCCCACUUUGACCUCGCAGAUUGCGUUCACAGUUUCACAUUUCUGGUUUAUUUGGCAUCCAUACUUGCUUAUCUGGGUCAACUUGAUUAAGAUAGAGGGAGUGGAAUCUAAGUUUCAUUUUUAAAUGUUCUUGGUUAGCAUGAUUUGUUAGAAUUAGAAUCUAAAUUUCAUUUGUUUGGUUGAGAAAUAGAACUGAAACGUAUUCGCUUAAUGAUGAGUUUGUUUUGCGAUUUAAUGCUUUGUCCCGCUGGCGCAAUGAGCGGGACAAAGCAUUAAGUGUUUAUGGCUAAAAGUUAAUGAUGUUUAGUCAUAUAUUAGUUUAUUGACCCCGACCUGUUCUAACCCAGCCCUGUUCUGACCUGGACCCGUUUCGUCCCGAACCAAAACAACUUUUUUUAUAUUUGACCCGUUUUGACCAAUGACCCGACCCGACCUGACCCAUUUGCCAGGUCUUAUAAGCACUGAUCCUUAAAUAAAUUGGGCAUUAUGUACCAAGAGUAAAGGUGGGAUUAUUGUGUAUAAGAUUGUAAACAUGGGAUUAUUAUGUACCAAGAAUAAAGGUGGGAUUAUUGUGUACAAUAUUCUGAACGUGGGAUUAUUAAAAUCCAAUUUUUCUUAGUUUUUUUUUAUAAAAAUGUUAGCCUGCUAAUGUAAAACUUUGUUAAUUUUUUUGUAAAAUGAUUUUUUGCACUAUUACUACUAGAGGUAAAUAAAUAUUUGUUGAAAACUAAAAUCUAGGUCGGAGAUGAAGCUUUCCUCAAAAGCAUUCUAAACUCUACCGAGACUGUAGCAAGAGGAAGGUUUUAAAGCUUGGACCCAAAUGAUCUAGUUGGUGGUACAGAGAUUGGACCAGAACGGUGUGAGGUAAACGUUCAAGUACCAAUAAAAAACAUGAAAACUUGGUAAGACCAUGUGGUUUAUUUUCUACAAUUCAAGAUUGUAUUGGUGCAUCCAUCGCAUGCCCCCUAUUCAUUCAUCUAGGUAGUCCAUGAGGAUUGAGGACGCAUGAUGACUCAAGAUUUUAUGCUUCUUAUUUCUUAAAUUGCUUUUAAUUUCUUUGUUAAAUGUUAAGACUUUAUGUUAGAUAAUGUUAUAACUUAUUUAUGGCUAGUGUUUUUGUUAUGAACAUGCUUAUUUGAAUUAUAAUGAAGUUUUAUUUCUUUUAUUAGUUGAUGUUAUACAAUAACUAUU
This is a long non-coding RNA of Helianthus annuus (common sunflower), 2688 nucleotides long. RefSeq lists it as uncharacterized. Lineage: Eukaryota; Viridiplantae; Streptophyta; Magnoliopsida; Asterales; Asteraceae. The transcript is spliced from 3 exons. The record is from RefSeq and is a predicted model, not a curated record.